AACGUGAAGCAGGAGCUUGCUCCUGUGGAAAGUGGCAGACGGGUGAGUAACGCGUGGGAAUUUACCCAGUGGUUCGGAAUAACGCAUGGAAACGUGUGCUAAUACCGGAUACGCCCUCCGGGGGAAAGAUUUAUCGCCAUUGGAUGAGCCCGCGUCGGAUUAGCUUGUUGGUGAGGUAAAAGCUCACCAAGGCGACGAUCCGUAGCUGGUCUGAGAGGAUGAUCAGCCACACUGGGACUGAGACACGGCCCAGACUCCUACGGGAGGCAGCAGUGGGGAAUAUUGCGCAAUGGAGGAAACUCUGACGCAGCCAUGCCGCGUGAGUGAAGAAGGCCUUAGGGUUGUAAAACUCUUUCACCGGUGAAGAUAAUGACGGUAGCCGGAGAAGAAGCCCCGGCCAACUCCGUGCCAGCAGCCGCGGUAAUACGGAGGGGGCUAGCGUUGUUCGGAUUUACUGGGCGUAAAGCGCGCGUAGGCGGGCUGGUCAGUUGGGGGUGAAAUCCCGAGGCUCAACCUCGGAACUGCCCUCAAUACUGCCAGUCUUGAGUUCGAGAGAGGUG
RNAcentral lists this ribosomal RNA (560 nucleotides) under uncultured bacterium. RNAcentral describes it as "bacterial SSU rRNA". It matches the Rfam family "Bacterial small subunit ribosomal RNA", at positions 65 to 659 of the family's 1533-position model. The record is from RNAcentral.